GAAAAGCAAAGAACUGAAAACCCCC
This 25-nucleotide transfer RNA is filed under the name Opuntia bakeri. RNAcentral describes it as "partial tRNA-Phe". The record is from RNAcentral. Lineage: Eukaryota; Viridiplantae; Streptophyta; Magnoliopsida; Caryophyllales; Cactaceae.